GGUCAUAUCACGUUGAAACACCUGUUCCCGUACGAUCACCGAAGUUAAGCAACGCCGAGCCUGAUCAAUAAAUGAAUGUGUGACCGCUUGAAAAUGCUACCUGCUGUAAG
Acanthosepion pharaonis is the source of this 110-nucleotide non-coding RNA. Lineage: Eukaryota; Metazoa; Mollusca; Cephalopoda; Sepiida; Sepiidae. The record is from the annotation of a GenBank genome assembly.